Molecule: ribosomal RNA, 465 nt
Filed under: uncultured bacterium
Lineage: Bacteria
Description: bacterial SSU rRNA
Rfam family: Bacterial small subunit ribosomal RNA
Source: RNAcentral
CCAGACUCCUACGGGAGGCAGCAGUGAGGAAUAUUGGUCAAUGGGCGCGAGCCUGAACCAGCCAAGUCGCGUGAGGGAGGACGGCCCUACGGGUUGUAAACCUCUUUUGCCGGGGAGCAACGGGCGUCACGUGUGGCGCCACUGAGAGUACCCGGAGAAAAAGCAUCGGCUAACUCCGUGCCAGCAGCCGCGGUAAUACGGAGGAUGCGAGCGUUAUCCGGAUUUAUUGGGUUUAAAGGGUGCGUAGGCGGUAUCGUGAAGGCGGUGGGAAAUUGGGGGGCCCAACCCCUUCCCCGCCAUUGAAACUGGCGCUCUUGAGUGGAAGAGAAGUAUGCGGAAUGCGUGGUGUAGCGGUGAAAUGCAUAGAUAUCACGCAGAACCCCGAUUGCGAAGGCAGCAUGCCGGCUUCCGACUGACGCUGAAGCACGAAAGCGUGGGGAUCGAACAGGAUUAGAUACCCCCGUA